GGGGAAUAUUGGACAAUGGGCGCAAGCCUGAUCCAGCAAUGCCGCGUGGAUGAAGAAGGUUUUCGGAUUGUAAAGUCCUUUCGGCGGGGACGAUGAUGACGGUACCCGCAGAAGAAGCCCCGGCUAACUUCGUGCCAGCAGCCGCGGUAAUACGAAGGGGGCUAGCGUUGCUCGGAAUGACUGGGCGUAAAGGGCGCGUAGGCGGUUUGGUGAGUUAGACGUGAAAUUCCUGGGCUCAACCUGGGGACUGCGUUUAGUACGGCCAGACUAGAGUGUGGAAGAGGGUCGUGGAAUUCCCAGUGUAGAGGUGAAAUUCGUAGAUAUUGGGAAGAACACCGGUGGCGAAGGCGGCGACCUGGUCCAUAACUGACGCUGAGGCGCGAAAGCGUGGGGAGCAAA
Molecule: ribosomal RNA, 399 nt
Filed under: uncultured bacterium
Lineage: Bacteria
Description: bacterial SSU rRNA
Rfam family: Bacterial small subunit ribosomal RNA
Source: RNAcentral